This 497-nucleotide ribosomal RNA is filed under the name uncultured bacterium. RNAcentral describes it as "partial 16S ribosomal RNA". It matches the Rfam family "Bacterial small subunit ribosomal RNA", at positions 28 to 507 of the family's 1533-position model. The record is from RNAcentral.
GAUGAACGCUGGCGGCGUGCCUAAUACAUGCAAGUCGAGCGAACGGACGAGAAGCUUGCUUCGCUGAUGUUAGCGGCGGGCGGGUGAGUAACACGUGUAUAACCUACCUAUAAGACUGGUAUAACUUCGGGAAACCGGAGCUAAUACCGUAUAAUAUUUUGAACCGCAUGGUUCAAAAGUGAAAGACGGUCUUGCUGGCUCGUAUAGAUGGAUCCGGGCUGCAUGAGCUAGUUGUUAAGUUAACGGCCUACCACGGCGACGAUGCAUAGCCGACCGCAGAGGGUGAUAGGCCACACGGGAGCUGGACCAGGGACAAGACUACUACGGGAGGCAGCAGUAGGGAAUGGUCCGCAGUGGGCGAAAGCCUGACGGAGCAACGCCAAGUGAGUGAUAAAGGCCUUCGGAUCGUAAAACUCUGUUACUAGGGAAAAACAUAUGUGUAAGUAAAUGUACCCAGCUUGACGGUAACGAAUCAGAAAGCAACGGCUAACUACGUG